GAUGAAGAACGUAGCGAAAUGCGAUAAGUAGUGUGAAUUGCAGAAUUCAGUGAAUCAUCGAAUCUUUGAACGCACAUUGCGCACCAUGGUAUUCCGUGGGGCAUGCCUGUUCGAGCGUCAUUUACCCCCUCAAGCUCCGCUUGGUGUUGGGCGUCUGUCCCGCUUCGCGCGCGGACUCGCCCCAAAGGUAUUGGCAGCGGUCGUGCCAGCUUCUCGCGCAGCACAUUGCGCUUCUCGAGGCACCGGUGGGCCCGCGUCCAUCAAGCUCACCCCCCCAGUUUGACCUCGGAUCAGGUAGGGAUACCCGCUGAACUUAAGCAUAUCAAUAAGCGGAGGA
Molecule: unclassified non-coding RNA, 337 nt
Filed under: soil metagenome
Description: partial contains 5.8S ribosomal RNA, internal transcribed spacer 2, and large subunit ribosomal RNA
Rfam family: 5.8S ribosomal RNA (bases 1-120)
Source: RNAcentral